AUUAUAGCAAAGAGGAUACACCUGUUCCCAUUCCGAACACAGAAGUUAAGCUCUUAAGCGGCGAUGGUACUUGGGGGGCGACCCCCUGGGAGAGUAGC
This 98-nucleotide ribosomal RNA is filed under the name Terrisporobacter mayombei. RNAcentral also lists the same sequence under 1 other name. Lineage: Bacteria; Bacillati; Bacillota; Clostridia; Peptostreptococcales; Peptostreptococcaceae. The record is from RNAcentral.